UGGGGAAUUUUACGCAAUGGGGGAAACCCUGACGUAGCGACACCGCGUGAGCGAAGAAGCCCUUUGGGGUGUAAAGCUCUGUCAGCUGGAACGAAAACAAUGACGGUACCAGCAGAGGAAGCAUCGGCUAACUACGUGCCAGCAGCCGCGGUAAGACGUAGGAUGCGAGCGUUGUCCGGAUUUAUUGGGCGUAAAGAGUUCGUAGGUGGUUUGUUAAGUUUGGUGUUAAAGAUCGGGGCUCAACCCUGGGACUGCACUGAAUACUGGCAGACUCGAGUGUGGUAGAGGCUAGUGGAAUUCCCAGUGAAGCGGUGAAAUGCGUAGAUAUUGGGAAGAACACCGGUGGCGUAGGCGACUAGCUGGGCCAUAACUGACGCUGAGGAACGAAAGCCAGGGGAGCGAAUGGG
This 407-nucleotide ribosomal RNA is filed under the name bacterium. Its description in RNAcentral is "partial 16S ribosomal RNA". It matches the Rfam family "Bacterial small subunit ribosomal RNA", at positions 355 to 776 of the family's 1533-position model. The record is from RNAcentral.